This 427-nucleotide ribosomal RNA is filed under the name uncultured bacterium. RNAcentral's name for it is "partial 16S ribosomal RNA". It matches the Rfam family "Bacterial small subunit ribosomal RNA", at positions 355 to 774 of the family's 1533-position model. The record is from RNAcentral.
UGGGGAAUAUUGCACAAUGGGCGCAAGCCUGAUGCAGCCAUGCCGCGUGUAUGAAGAAGGCCUUCGGGUUGUAAAGUACUUUCAGCGGGGAGGAAGGUGUUGAGGCUAAUAACCUCAGCAAUUGACGUUACCCGCAGAAGAAGCACCGGCUAACUCCGUGCCAGCAGCCGCGGUAAUACGGAGGGUGCAAGCGUUAAUCGGAAUUACUGGGCGUAAAGCGCACGCAGGUGGUCUGUCAAGUCGGAUGUGAAAUCCCCGGGCUCAACCUGGGAACUGCAUUCGAAACUGGCAGGCUAGAGUCUUGUAGAGGGGGGUAGAAUUCCAGGUGUAGCGGUGAAAUGCGUAGAGAUCUGGAGGAAUACCGGUGGCGAAGGCGGCCCCCUGGACAAAGACUGACGCUCAGGUGCGAAAGCGUGGGGAGCAAACA